RNAcentral lists this ribosomal RNA (459 nucleotides) under uncultured bacterium. RNAcentral describes it as "partial 16S ribosomal RNA". It matches the Rfam family "Bacterial small subunit ribosomal RNA", at positions 338 to 795 of the family's 1533-position model. The record is from RNAcentral.
CCUACGGGAGGCAGCAGUGAGGAAUAUUGGUCAAUGGGCGCGAGCCUGAACCAGCCAAGUCGCGUGAGGGAAGACGGUCCUAUGGAUUGUAAACCUCUUUUGUCGGGGAGCAAAAGACGCCACGCGUGGCGUUCCGAGAGUACCCGAAGAAAAAGCAUCGGCUAACUCCGUGCCAGCAGCCGCGGUAAUACGGAGGAUGCGAGCGUUAUCCGGAUUUAUUGGGUUUAAAGGGUGCGCAGGCGGAUUUUUAAGUCAGCGGUCAAAUCGUGGGGCUCAACCCCAUCCAGCCGUUGAAACUGGGGAUCUAGAGUGUGCGAGAGGUAUGCGGAAUGCGUGGUGUAGCGGUGAAAUGCAUAGAUAUCACGCAGAACCCCGAUUGCGAAGGCAGCAUACCGGUGCACAACUGACGCUCAGGCACGAAAGCGUGGGUAUCGAACAGGAUUAGAUACCCCAGUAGUC